UUGUAUUUGUAGAGGGCGUUUCGGGCGCGAUGCCGGUCUAAGUUCCUUGGAACAGGACGUCGUAGAGGGUGAGAAUCCCGUAUGCGACCGGCGAUCAAGCCUGUGUGAAACCCCUUCGACGAGUCGAGUUGUUUGGGAAUGCAGCUCAAAAUGGGUGGUAAAUUUCAUCUAAAGCUAAAUAUUGGCCAGAGACCGAUAGCGGACAAGUAGAGUGAUCGAAAGAUGAAAAGCACUUUGGAAAGAGAGUCAAACAGUACGUGAAAUUGUUGAAAGGGAAGCGCUUGCAAUCAGACCGGUCCGGAGGUGAUCAGCCGCUGCUCGUCAGCGGUGCACUCGCCUGCGAUCCGGCCAGCAUCGGUUCGGGCGGUGGGAUAAAAGUCCCGGGAAUGUAGCUUCUUUCGGGGAGUCUUAUAGCCCGGCUCGCAAUGCCGCCCGCCCGGACCGAGGACCGCGCUUCGGCUAGGAUGCUGGCGUAAUGGUUGCAAGCG
RNAcentral lists this ribosomal RNA (488 nucleotides) under Sticta dendroides. RNAcentral's name for it is "eukaryotic LSU rRNA". It matches the Rfam family "Eukaryotic large subunit ribosomal RNA", at positions 144 to 646 of the family's 3401-position model. Lineage: Eukaryota; Fungi; Ascomycota; Lecanoromycetes; Peltigerales; Lobariaceae. The record is from RNAcentral.